RNAcentral lists this ribosomal RNA (253 nucleotides) under uncultured bacterium. Its description in RNAcentral is "partial 16S ribosomal RNA". It matches the Rfam family "Bacterial small subunit ribosomal RNA", at positions 524 to 776 of the family's 1533-position model. The record is from RNAcentral.
UACGUAGGGUGCAAGCGUUAAUCGGAAUUACUGGGCGUAAAGCGUGCGCAGGCGGUUUUGUAAGUUUGUCGUGAAAGCCCCGGGCUCAACCUGGGAAUUGCGAUGAAGACUGCAAGGCUUGAAUCUGGCAGAGGGGGGUAGAAUUCCACGUGUAGCAGUGAAAUGCGUAGAGAUGUGGAGGAACACGGAUGGCGAAGGCAGCCCCCUGGGUCAAGAUUGACGCUCAUGCACGAAAGCGUGGGGAGCAAACAGG